UACGUAGGGUGCGAGCGUUAAUCGGAAUUACUGGGCGUAAAGCGUGCGCAGGCGGUGAUGUAAGACAGAUGUGAAAUCCCCGGGCUUAACCUGGGAACUGCAUUUGUGACUGCAUCGCUGGAGUGCGGCAGAGGGGGAUGGAAUUCCGCGUGUAGCAGUGAAAUGCGUAGAUAUGCGGAGGAACGCCAAAGGCGAAGGCAGCUCACUGGACGAAAACUGACGCUGAGGCACGAAAGCGUGGGUAGCAAAAGGG
Molecule: ribosomal RNA, 253 nt
Filed under: uncultured bacterium
Lineage: Bacteria
Description: partial 16S ribosomal RNA
Rfam family: Bacterial small subunit ribosomal RNA
Source: RNAcentral